UUUAAACUGAAUUUAGUUUCUGUUGGCGCAAAUGACCCCAGGCAGGAGUGCUUCGAAUGGGACCAACUCAGGAGAAUCGGUUGAAAGGGUUUCUCCAGUUGGUGAGCUGAGCCCUUAAGACAGAGUGAGGCCAGUUGACAAUUAUAAUCAUGACCUAGGAGCCCAGGGUGCAUAUAUCAGAUGAGGAAACUGAGGCUAACAGAGAGCAACAAGUUCAAAACUGCACUGGAAGUGGAAGAGAUGGCAUCUGAGCUCCUGUCUGUACAAUUCUAAAGCCUGUGUUAUUAACCACAGAUCACUUCUCUCUAGGGAGGCUCAGAUGUAAUUCGUGCUCUGGGUCCCAUAGGUUGAAAAAUCCCCAGCGUGCGGGUUAUCUGCAACCAGCAGGAGCAGCUCCCAAGGCAUCAGAUCUCCCCCUCCUUACCAAGCCCAGCCCAUGUUUUUGGCCCCUUUCCAGCUCUUCCUCCCCUCACCAUUUAUGAGCUCUUGUUCUAGCUUCAUUGGAAUCAUUCCCCUUGAAUCACCAUGUAUGGACACUCCAUACAUGUUGAUUAUACUGAUUUAAACCAUCAGCCAGUUCAUUCCUUCAUCCAUAGAAUAGCCACUCAGGACUAUAGGAAAGGCAAUGAUUUCAUUGGGACUUAUGUCCCUAUGAAUAAUUAGAAUUGCC
This is a non-coding RNA of Sus scrofa (pig), 670 nucleotides long. The record is from RefSeq and is a predicted model, not a curated record. Lineage: Eukaryota; Metazoa; Chordata; Mammalia; Artiodactyla; Suidae.